AAAUUUCACCUGGUCUAACAUGCA
This 24-nucleotide microRNA is filed under the name Ananas comosus (pineapple). Its description in RNAcentral is "microRNA s1155_c008b". The record is from RNAcentral. Lineage: Eukaryota; Viridiplantae; Streptophyta; Magnoliopsida; Poales; Bromeliaceae.